CGCAUCUGUGCAUGCAGCAUAUCAAUAAGCGGAGGAAAAGAAACUAACAAGGAUUCCCCUAGUAACGGCGAGUGAAGCGGGAAGAGCUCAAAUUUGAAAUCUUAAAGGGUUUCCCUUUACGAAUUGUAGUUUAAAGAAGUGUUUUCUGUUGAGGUUUUGGUAAAAGUUCUUUGGAAUAGGACAUCAUAGAGGGUGAGAAUCCCGUAUUUGACCUUUACUUUCAACUUUGUGAUACACUUUCAAAGAGUCGGAUUGUUUGGGAAUGCAGUCCAAAAUGGGUGGUAAAUUUCAUCUAAAGCUAAAUAUUGGCGAGAGACCGAUAGCGAACAAGUACCGUGAGGGAAAGAUGAAAAGAACUUUGAAAAGAGAGUUAAACAGUACGUGAAAUUGUCAAAAGGGAAGCGUUUGACACCAGUGUUGUUUUUCUGAAAAUCAAUUAAAGAACUGUUUAUGCUAAGCUGUUUAGACUUUAUCAGCUAUCUGUUUAGUUUUGAGCUUUUCUUUAAUGCACUUUUCAGUUAACAAGUCAACAUCAAUUUCUUUUGCUGUAAAAAAGCUUGAGGAAGGUGGCUUGAGAUUCGUCUCAAGUGUUUAUAGCCUCUUGCCUAUGCAGUCGGAGAGAUUGAGGUCUGCAGCGUAGAUCCUUCGGGGCUAAAUGCAUUUGUGCUAAGUUAUAACAUUUCAUAGACAACUUGUUGACUAUGAUUUGUCUUGUAGCUUACUCGCUUAUGUUAUUUUACCUACGCUUAGGAUGUUGACAGCAGUAUAGACUGU
This 774-nucleotide ribosomal RNA is filed under the name uncultured Neocallimastigales. RNAcentral's name for it is "partial large subunit ribosomal RNA". It matches the Rfam family "Eukaryotic large subunit ribosomal RNA", at positions 26 to 634 of the family's 3401-position model. Lineage: Eukaryota; Fungi; Neocallimastigomycota; Neocallimastigomycetes; Neocallimastigales. The record is from RNAcentral.